Long non-coding RNA from Brassica oleracea var. oleracea, 513 nucleotides. RefSeq lists it as uncharacterized. The transcript is spliced from 3 exons. NCBI's taxonomy places the organism in Eukaryota, Viridiplantae, Streptophyta, Magnoliopsida, Brassicales, Brassicaceae. The record is from RefSeq and is a predicted model, not a curated record.
AUGGCUCAUUUUGCUUAAUUUGCAGCGGCGGGAACACCUCUGCCAGCGCCAGGUCCAGUGCCAUUUUUGCUGGCCCCACCACCGCCUAUGUCUGCUUUUAGCCCCGGAUCAUCUAAGGCGGCGGCGACAGCUCCUGGGCUGGCACCGGAUGCUCCCUUGGAUGGACCGAUGGGCCCCACAGCCACACCAGGAAUUCGACCGGUGGUUCAGCCCUUGCAACCCACUAGCCUCGCUCAAUAUUCUACCUCUCCUUUUCUUCCCUUGCUUUUCUUUCUCUUCACUCUUCUCACCUUGUUGAAUUUGUGAGCUAUACCGCGCGUCUCCAUAUUCAAAUUGUUACCCUUGUGUAUGUGUUGUCAGGUACUUUCCUUUUGGAUUCAUCGUUCCAGAUAUGAUUUACUUACUAUUUCAUCUCAAAUGAUAAGCUUCUUUGUCUUUUUGUUCGGUAAAUAUAAACCGUUGUCUGGCUCCGACCAAAUCAACACGCGUAUGUUUCUAUUUUAAAUGCCAAAU